UACGUAGGGUGCAAGCGUUUGUCCGGAAUUAUUGGGCGUAAAGAGCUCGUAGGCGGUUUUGUCGCGUCUGCUGUGAAAACGCGAGGCUCAACCUCGCGCCUGCAGUGGGUACGGGCAGACUAGAGUUCGGUAGGGGAGACUGGAAUUCCUGGUGUAGCGGUGAAAUGCGCAGAUAUCAGGAGGAACACCGGUGGCGAAGGCGGGUCUCUGGGCCGAUACUGACGCUGAGGAGCGAAAGCGUGGGGAGCGAACAGG
This 255-nucleotide ribosomal RNA is filed under the name uncultured bacterium. Its description in RNAcentral is "partial 16S ribosomal RNA". It matches the Rfam family "Bacterial small subunit ribosomal RNA", at positions 524 to 776 of the family's 1533-position model. The record is from RNAcentral.